Molecule: long non-coding RNA, 2283 nt
Filed under: Homo sapiens (human)
Lineage: Eukaryota; Metazoa; Chordata; Mammalia; Primates; Hominidae
Description: HSALNT0144662
Source: RNAcentral
AAAAACUAUAUUAAAAAAUACAAAUUAUGCUUUUUUAUAUUUAUGAUCCCUGAAAAUCUGAGAACCCAAACUAGGUACCGUUAAACCAACUUGAUUCUAAAAUUUCAAGUAGCUCUCAGAUUCUGUGACUAUACGUGACUUAAAGUGAAAAAAAAUUACUUAUGUCUUCUUCACAUCCAUACAAUCCCUCAUAUUUUGAUUAGGCAUAGCUGUCUAUAUGACAACCAUGGUUCAGUAAGAAGAUAAUCCAAAAAUGAUAGUCCCAGGAUAAGCCAAAUAAAUACAUAAACUCUAGUGAUUUUAUUUGUUUCUUUUCAUCAUCUCAGAGCCUAGCUGUGUCCAGCAUGUAGUUGGCAUCUAUAAAUAUUGAUUGAUUGAAUGAAGUAGCAUGGGCCUUCGGAGAUCUAGGAAGAAUGACAUAAGUUGCUUAAGGUUUCUCCAAAUGAACUAGUAUUUACAUGACUCCGGCACUUGUUCUAUUGCCUACAACAGGAAGAUUGAGAUGGGCCACUAUGAGCCAUGGAAAAAGAGGACUGAGAAUAAACCACAGAGAUUGCAAUGGAAGCAGAGACAUCUUAAUACUUUCAACACCAGAGGAAGACCAGUGUGUCUUCAAUCUUUUAAAGAAGUUGGAAGAGGUGAGAAACUCCAUCUGAUAAGAAAACAGAAUCUUUAAGAAGUGGACUUGCUGAUGGUCACAGGGCUAGCGAAAGAGCUGCAACUACCUGAUUCCUUCACUGAGACAUGACCGUUUCCUGCUUUCUAAGGUAUAUAUAUUCAAGUGGAGGAAAUAGAACACACAUGCGAGAGAAUCACUUUCUGAGAGAGCUGAAGACUAUUUGAUGGACCACCAUAAAUUUCAUCAAAGGAAACAGAGCAGAGAAUUGACCAAUAACAAACAGCUGGAAAUGAAAGAACUGUGGGCAAGGUAAUUUUGGCAGCUAAUGGAGACAGUUAUUGAGGAAGGCUGAAUGCACUCUGAGUCUGGAAUGUGGAAGUGUGGACAAUUCUGCAGAGCAGGCCUACAGUGGAGGAGCACAGGAAAAUCUUCAACACAGGAAAAAAUUGUGGACCACCUACUUAAGGAGGAAUUCCAAAGACUUGCUGUACAACAUAGUACCUAUAGUCAAUAAUAUAGUAUUGUGUGCUUUAAAAUAUGUUAAGAAAAUAGGUCUCAUGUAAAGUGUUCUUACCAAAAAACAAACAAACAAACAAACAAAAACCACAAGGAAAUUUGUGGAGGUGAGAGACAUUUAGUACCUUGAUUGUGGUGAUGGUGUCAUGAGCUCAUCCAUCUGUCGAAUUUCAUCAAACUGUGCGCAUUAAAUAUGUACAAUUUUGUGUAUCAAGUAUUUUUCAAUACAGCUAAAAAUAUGUACUUUAUUUAUAAAAAACAUACGUUUUUUUUAGUACAGAACAUUGAAUAGUUUUAACAAAGAAGGCAUCUAUGGCUGGACAAGAGGAAGUUCUCAACCCUCCCUAAGCCAUUGAUUAUCCACACACUGUGACCUCUUCUCUCCGGGGUUAUGUUCUCAUUUAUUUAAUAUGAGGGAAGGAAGGUCAUUCUCUCAAACUCGUGUAGAUUUUCACAACAGCUUAGUGAUUUAUGUUAUACAAAUAUAAUCUUUUAACCAUCAAUUAUGAUAUAUAUUUUUCUUAAUGGGCAAUCUGAACAUAAUGAUAGCAUUGUUUUGUAUUAAAGGUUAAAAUAAUAAAUGUAAAAUUCUUAGCAGAGUGCCUGAGGCAAAUAAAUACUUUUUACUAUUAAUACUAUUAUUAUUUAUUCUUAUCAUUAUUUUUAUUUCUAUUAAGCCAGCAAAUAUGGUGAAAUCUUCCAGAUGCCCUUGCUGAAGGACUCCAGAUGUCAAAGAGAAGUGGCCAUUUGUUAGACAGCUGUUCAGUUAACCUGUCUGUCUUGGUUAAAAACACCUGCACAUACUGUCCCCAGUUCAAUCUGAGCCCAUGGCAGUGACAAAGUCUGUGGGAUUUGGGUUGCCUCAUGGGUGGUGAACCAUAUUGUUGGAUAGAUCACUCUCUGAAAAGCCAGCUAUCCUUCAUGUUUGAAACGAUUAAACAUGAAAGCUCAUUACAACAAUAAUGGCUGUUUUGAUAUUUCCAACUAGCUCUAGUGAGGUGGCCACUGGAGAGUCCUCAAUGAGGUGUAAAGCAUUGGCUAUGCAGUGGGUGUGAAGCCCAACUGGCCCAUUUGUUUUCACAAAUCUUACCUUCUGGGGAUAAUGUUAAGUACACGGAUGACUUGGCACAUAGUGGCCUAAUUCAAAG